Molecule: ribosomal RNA, 1506 nt
Filed under: metagenome
Description: bacterial SSU rRNA
Rfam family: Bacterial small subunit ribosomal RNA
Source: RNAcentral
AGAGUUUGAUCAUGGCUCAGGACGAACGCUGGCGGCGUGCCUAAUACAUGCAAGUAGAACGCUGAAGAGAGGAGCUUGCUCUUCUUGGAUGAGUUGCGAACGGGUGAGUAACGCGUAGGUAACCUGCCUUGUAGCGGGGGAUAACUAUUGGAAACGAUAGCUAAUACCGCAUAACAAUGGAUGACACAUGUCAUUUAUUUGAAAGGGGCAAUUGUUCCACUACAAGAUGGACCUGCGUUGUAUCAGCUAGUAGGUGAGGUAAUGGCUCACCUAGGCGACGAUACAUAGCCGACCUGAGAGGGUGAUCGGCCACACUGGGACUGAGACACGGCCCAGACUCCUACGGGAGGCAGCAGUAGGGAAUCUUCGGCAAUGGGGGCAACCCUGACCGAGCAACGCCGCGUGAGUGAAGAAGGUUUUCGGAUCGUAAAGCUCUGUUGUAAGUCAAGAACGGGUGUGAGAGUGGAAAGUUCACACUGUGACGGUAGCUUACCAGAAAGGGACGGCUAACUACGUGCCAGCAGCCGCGGUAAUACGUAGGUCCCGAGCGUUGUCCGGAUUUAUUGGGCGUAAAGCGAGCGCAGGCGGUUUGAUAAGUCUGAAGUUAAAGGCUGUGGCUCAACCAUAGUUCGCUUUGGAAACUGUCAAACUUGAGUGCAGAAGGGGAGAGUGGAAUUCCAUGUGUAGCGGUGAAAUGCGUAGAUAUAUGGAGGAACACCGGUGGCGAAAGCGGCUCUCUGGUCUGUAACUGACGCUGAGGCUCGAAAGCGUGGGGAGCGAACAGGAUUAGAUACCCUGGUAGUCCACGCCGUAAACGAUGAGUGCUAGGUGUUGGAUCCUUUCCGGGAUUCAGUGCCGCAGCUAACGCAUUAAGCACUCCGCCUGGGGAGUACGACCGCAAGGUUGAAACUCAAAGGAAUUGACGGGGGCCCGCACAAGCGGUGGAGCAUGUGGUUUAAUUCGAAGCAACGCGAAGAACCUUACCAGGUCUUGACAUCCCGAUGCUAUUUCUAGAGAUAGAAAGUUACUUCGGUACAUCGGUGACAGGUGGUGCAUGGUUGUCGUCAGCUCGUGUCGUGAGAUGUUGGGUUAAGUCCCGCAACGAGCGCAACCCCUAUUGUUAGUUGCCAUCAUUCAGUUGGGCACUCUAGCGAGACUGCCGGUAAUAAACCGGAGGAAGGUGGGGAUGACGUCAAAUCAUCAUGCCCCUUAUGACCUGGGCUACACACGUGCUACAAUGGUUGGUACAACGAGUUGCGAGUCGGUGACGGCGAGCUAAUCUCUUAAAGCCAAUCUCAGUUCGGAUUGUAGGCUGCAACUCGCCUACAUGAAGUCGGAAUCGCUAGUAAUCGCGGAUCAGCACGCCGCGGUGAAUACGUUCCCGGGCCUUGUACACACCGCCCGUCACACCACGAGAGUUUGUAACACCCGAAGUCGGUGAGGUAACCUUUUGGAGCCAGCCGCCUAAGGUGGGACAGAUGAUUGGGGUGAAGUCGUAACAAGGUA